Molecule: ribosomal RNA, 544 nt
Filed under: Ephemerella atagosana
Lineage: Eukaryota; Metazoa; Arthropoda; Insecta; Ephemeroptera; Ephemerellidae
Description: SSU rRNA
Rfam family: Eukaryotic small subunit ribosomal RNA
Source: RNAcentral
UAAAAAGCUCGUAGUUGGAUCUGUGUAUCGGACGGUCGGUUCGCCGCUCGCGGCGUUUAACUGACCGGUCCGGACGUCCUGCCGGUGGGCUUCCGGCCCUUCGCGGGGCCGGUCGCCCGUUAACCUUCCCUCCGGGCUGCUCUUAACCGAGUGGCGCGGUGGGCCGGCACGUUUACUUUGAACAAAUUUGAGUGCUCAAAGCAGGCCUCGAGUUGCCUGAAAACUGUGUGCAUGGAAUAAUGGAAUAGGGCCUCUUCUCUAUUUUGUUGGCUUUUCUGAGAUAGAGGUAAUGAUUAAUAGGGACAGACGGGGGCAUUCGUAUUGCGACGUUAGAGGUGAAAUUCUUGGAUCGUCGCAAGACGGACGGAUGCGAAAGCGUUUGCCAAGAAUGUUUUCGCUAAUCAAGAACGAAAGUUAGAGGUUCGAAGGCGAUCAGAUACCGCCCUAGUUCUAACCAUAAACGAUGCCAGCCAGCGAUGCGCCGACGCCUCCGAUGACUCGGCGCGCAGCUUUUCCGGGAAACCAAAGCUUUUGGGUUCCGGGG